CCACACCAAAACAAAACAAAUUAGUCAACUAGCUAGUAGUGGUGAGAAAAAGAAGUCAUUUUGUACUACUACUGCCCACAUGAUGCCACAGUACCCCAUUAUCUCCUUCCCUUUCUUUCUUCCCCUACAUCAUAUUUUCUCUAUCUGUCAAAAGUUUCGUUUCUUUAAUGGGGUUUUGUGUAUGUUCUGUCCACUGCAUGUAACAUCUUACUCAGAGAAAAGAAGUAAAAGAUCUUUUUCCUUUACUACUACUACUAGUAGUACUAGAGUUUAGGGUAUGGUGUAUUCCAACACAAUUCAGACACACAUAAAACCCUAAUGGCCGUGAUAGUAGUGGAUUCAGAAUUUAGACGCUCUGAGUUUAAGUCAGAAGAUAUGUUAUCUAGGUUUUUUUUUCUUCAUAAAAGGGGAUUGUGUUUUGGUUUUAGAUCUGAAUUUUAGCAUGAUAAUGUUUGUGGUUGGGUGUGAAGCAAAUACUAAGAGAAGGGGGGACAAGGAGAAUCAAGACUGACAGAAGAGAGUGAGCACACGCAGGCAAUUGUAUAGAGAUUAUAUUACUGUCAUUUGCGUGUGCUCACUUCUCUUGCUGUCAUCUCUCUCUAUACUUUUCCCCCAUUCUUUUUUGCUUUGCUUUGCUUCCACCACUCAAUCAGCCAACACUUGUUCAAACUGCAGGGGGCGGAUGCAGCGUAGGAUUGCUGGCUUCAACUGAACCAAUAUUUUUCAUGCGAAACAUAAAUUUAUAGGUAAAAUCUCUCAACUGAACUAUUAUUUUCGAUACGAAAUAUAAAUUUAUAGGUAAAAUCUCUCAACUAAAUCAGUACUUUCGAUGCGGAAUAUAAAUUUAUCGGUAAAAUUUCUCAAAACUAUAAAAGCUAGUAGAUAGUUUCAAUUCUAAAAAUGUUGGAGAUUGAACCGUAAAAUUUAAACUUUGAAUCCGCGGUAGGUUACGUAAGAUAAUUUAUUAUUGUUCUUUCUGAUCUUUAGCUAACAUAUAUACAUCUGUCUAAAGAAAACAGUAGCUAUAGCCUAUAGGAUUGAUGGACACGACAGUCAACAUUGCCACUGACAUAUUUGCUAUGUUGUUAACUUGUUAACCACAAAAAAUUACUGCACCAUAAUAAAAUUGACACUUAAGUCAGUUGACGUGUUCUUCUCUAGUUCUCUCUUUCUCUCUCUAUAUAUACUAUUAUUUCUACCAGUUUGUAUUUAUGUUCUCUUGGUGGGUUUUGGAGAUUAGACUGAAAGAAGCUGAAGUUUAUUAUAAAAAAAAAAUACUUAGUAGAAGAAGAAUCAGAACAGUUAUCAGAUCAGGUAAGAAUCUUAGACUUUUAGUAAUAAUUUUUACCAAUUAAAUAUUGUACUAAGCGUGUCUUUUCAUGAACUUAUUACUCCAUAUCUCUGAUGAAGAGGACGAAUGUUAGAUUUGGGAGGUACGCUUGUUACUGUUCUGUCUUAACGGAUAACUAAUUAUUUUUACGGCUUCAGUACAUUUAUUUGCAAAAAUCGAGAAAUUUAUUGAAAAAAAAUUUCACUUUUAUGAUUUUAACGGAAAACUUUCUUCUUUCUACCUUUUCUAGCUCAUUUAUAACUUCAUUGAUUUAUUUCUUGAUUUUGCUCUUGACAAUCUUGCUUUAUUUUUCCGGCUGUAUUUUUUUUUCCUUUUCUCUUUUCGUCUUAUUGAAACUAGGGUAUAUGGGAAACAGCCUCGGGUAGAGAUAGAGCCUUAGACGUCCGCGUAUACACUAGCCUUCCCAAAUUCUACUCGUGUGAUUUUACGGUCGGGUCGUUGUUGUUGUUGUUAUUGUAUUUUUCUUUUCUUGAGUGUGGUAAUCUAGGACUUAAAAAUGAGCAUAAAUUUCUCAGAUAAAAAGGAGGAAUCUUAAAAAUGUUUCUAUUCUUAAAGAUAUUCUUUUAAGUUGAUGAAUCUCGGAUUUGUUUUUUUGAGUAUGAAGGGAUUUGGUUAAAUUUAUGUGGGUUCUUGUUAAUAUUUUAUGUAGGUUUGUUGACAAGCUAAUCUCUCUUUAAUUUUGGUAAUGAUAUGCUUUUUAAUUUCAUAGUUGAGGCUAGGAAGAAAAUUAGUAAAGAUUAGAACUUUGAAUAUGACUCCUAUGUUUGAUAAGAUUUUGCUUCCUUUUCUGCGGAGGUAGGCUUCCAGUUUUUGGUAUGAAGUUUGGAGAAAAUUUUCCCAUGUACAGGUUAGAAUAUUACAUGAAUAAUGAGCUAUAAUUUUCACUUGUUUGUAUUUGAUUUAGUUCUUUUUGUUUGUAAAGAAUAUAAUUCAUUUUGUUCUUUGUUAACUGCAGUCCUUCGUUGUAAUUACACUUAAAUAUUCUAACCCUUUUUGAUAGCCACUAUUGCCUGCCGGUGGCGACAUCAAGCAGCUUUUUUCUCUUCUUUUGAUUAACAGGUAUUUGAUUUUAUCAUGCUUUUCUCUCUUCCGUUGUCUUAGUAAAUUUAAAAUCUCUCGGAAUCUAUGCAAAUCUAGUGAAAAAUAGGGUACAAUGAAAGAAAAAGAUCUGUACAACCAAUAUCAAUUUGCUGGGAUUUAUAUGUUUAGUUUAGGUUCAAUGCUUUCUUCAGUCUUUUAGUCUCGUCAGAGAAAAUGUGAGAACUUCUAGUACAUUUUGUUAUUAUUUUAUAUGAUAUUGGGAUUGGAUUUAACUUAAAUGGAGCGACAUGAAUUCAUCUAGUCGGUCCCUUUUUUGGUAUAAGCAUUGUGGUGGUGGUGGUGGUGGUGGUGGUGUAUGUUUUUCUUUCUUCUCUCACUGCUGCAAUUGGUGAAUUGUCUGAUAAAGGAAGUGGCUUUGCACCACUUGCAUGUCUAUGUUCUAUUUCUUGUUGAGAUGUAGUAAAUAUGGAGUUCUUUUUGGGAUCAGUUUAGUCCUAGUUUAUAUCAGCUGAAUGGAUAUGUUUGACACAAAUAUUUGACUUUGGGAUUGUAAACUUGAGCUAGUAAGGGUAGCUCGGUGCACAAAGUAUCCCGCAUUUAUGUAAAAUUCGGGGAAGGACCGCACCCCAAGGGGUGUUGUAGACAGUCUACCCUAAUGCAAGUAUUAUUAGCUGUGGAAUGCAAGUAUUAUUAGUUGCUUCCAUCGUAACCUAGAUCACACAAAGACAACUUUACCGUUGCUCCUAGGCUCCUCUUCAAAACUUGAGCUAGUACUUUCUUGAAUAGAUUUUAGUUAUAUACACUGACAGUGUAAGGUUAUACACUACUCUCACUGAAGUUUAGCCUAUUAUGUCAUGUUAGCAGAUUACCGACUAAUGUUUAUCGUAUAGUUCUAUUUGUAAUUAUCUUAUAAAUGACUUAAUUGUGGAAAUAUUUAUGUACGAGUGCAUAAGGGACUAAUUUACAAGUAUAAAAGGUCCAAAAGGAGACUGAGAACUUUUGCACUUGCUCUAAGUACAUGUUGCUCCAUCAUUUUUCAAAAAUUGUAUAAUGAAAAUUAUUUCACAUUUCUCUCAAGUGAUUGUGUGGCUUAAUCGAGUUUGUAUGUUGAAAAAGUAUAGAUACUGCAUGUAGACUUCCAAAAUUAUUUAGCAGAUUAUGGUCUUGCUGAAUUGAGUAAUUUAUGAGUUUCCUUUGAAAUUAACUGACAACCAUGUGUUUGAAAUUUGGUAUUGGGACAAUAUUUCUAGAAGUUUCUUGAGUCGCGGGUCUAUUGAAAACAGCCUCUCUAUCCCUAUAAGGUAGGGGUAAAGUCUGCGUACACACUACCCUCUCAGACCCCAUUUAUGGAAUUGCACUGGGUUUGUUGUUGUUGUUGGACAACAUCUCUAGAAAUUAGUAUCUUCAUCUUUGUGUUUCUUUAUUGGUAUAUUUUAUUUGUUUGUUUUAGUAGUAAUUGACUAUUAGCUGUGACUAUUGGGAGGGGUAAAUGGUGUUACUGUAGCUUGUGAUAGUAAAGUUGCUUAUUGUAAAAUCCCACAAGUGGGGUCUGGGGAGGGUAGUGUUUACGCAGACCUUACUCCUACCCCGAAGGAGUAGAAAGGCUGUUUCCGGAAGACUCUCGGCUCAAGAUAAUAAAAAGACACUAUGUUAGAUAUAGGCAUUUUGUGAGGACUUGGUGCAAUUUGUAUAGCAUCUUGGUGGAGGAAAUAGUGUUCGAACACUAUAUUUGAACAUGGUAGGAUGGUAACAACAACAACAACAAACCCAGUGUAAUCCCACAAGUAGGGUCUGGGAAAGGUAGUGUGUACUCACACCUUACCCUACCUUUAAGAACACUAUAUUUGGACGUGGUGUGAUGGUACAUCUAUAAAUUUCUAGUUGGGAAGUCCUUUAUGCCUAACUCAAUUUUCUUUAAUUUGACAGAGAAUUAACAACUAUGAGAUCUAGCAUUGUUUUCUCGCAACAAAAUUAAGGAAUUAAAAACACUUCGAAUAUAGGAAGCAGCUCAAGUGGGAUAUUUGUUAUACGUUUGAGUGUUAGAGGCUGUGAAUUCUAAUAAUGUUCUUCAGUACACAAUUUCUAUUGCGUUCUUUGCUAGUUGGACUUGGAUAAGUAUUCUCACUAGGUUAGCAAGAAUUUUGUAUUGCCAGAAAAAAAUGUUGAAUACUCUAUUAUAACGAUAUAAUUUUUCCCCUAUUGUUAUUGUUCAGAGACGAUUUACAUAACGGACCCCCAACUUAUUUUGGAUUGAGGCGCAGUUGUUGCAGUUUGCUGUUCUCCCCGCCCUAAUGUUAUUGGUAACUGAGCAGCUCUUGCUUGUACAUUGCAGUAUCUAAAGAUGAACUAUAGGCAUGCGAAGCAUUUCAUAUUAAUGAUAUAAUGAAAGGCAGCCCGAGCAAAGUGCACGAGGUUAUGCUGGCUUUAUGGAGGAAUUUUUGGAAGAUGCUGGCUACCCAUUUCCUUGGCUGAGCUUGGAGUUCUGUAAGCUGGAUUUGGAUGCUGAAGCGGAGGGAUGAAAAUCAGUGUAACCUUAAUUCAAGUAUGAUUAAGGUGCAGUGAUUGCGGAUGAAAGCAGUGACGAAGACUUUACUUGAGUGUUGUUGAUCGUUAUUAGACUUUCUAUUAUUAUGUUUAAGGAUAUUUUAGUUUAGAAUUUUUUGUAUGCAAACUCAUCUAUUUUGACUUUUGAAUUGUUGACCAAACAAACAAUGUAUCCAUAUUUUGUUUUUGCACAUGGAUAAUGCUAGUUGGAUAUGGUGUAAACAAUUUCAUAGAAUAGGAAAAUAUUUCUCAUUUUGCUUC
Nicotiana tabacum (common tobacco) is the source of this 5197-nucleotide non-coding RNA. The record is from RefSeq and is a predicted model, not a curated record. NCBI's taxonomy places the organism in Eukaryota, Viridiplantae, Streptophyta, Magnoliopsida, Solanales, Solanaceae.